This 400-nucleotide ribosomal RNA is filed under the name uncultured bacterium. Its description in RNAcentral is "bacterial SSU rRNA". It matches the Rfam family "Bacterial small subunit ribosomal RNA", at positions 355 to 769 of the family's 1533-position model. The record is from RNAcentral.
UAGGGAAUAUUGCGCAAUGGGCGAAAGCCUGACGCAGCGACGCCGCGUGAGUGAUGAAGGCCUUAGGGUCGUAAAGCUCUGUUGAACGGGAAGAAAAAAAUGACGGUACCGUUCGAGAAAGGACCGGCUAACUUCGUGCCAGCAGCCGCGGUAAGACGAGGGGUCCUAGCGUUGUUCGGAAUCAUUGGGCGUAAAGCGUGUGUAGGUGGCUUUUCAAGUCAGGUGUGAAAGCCCCGGGCUCAACCCGGGAAGUGCAUUUGAUACUGCUAAGCUUGAGUACCGAAGAGGGUAGUGGAAUUCCAGGUGUAGUGGUGAAAUACGUAGAUAUCUGGAGGAACACCGGUGGCGAAGGCGGCUACCUGGUCGAGUACUGACACUGAGACACGAAAGCGUGGGGAUC